AUCAACUUUCGAUGGUAGGAUAGAGGCCUACCAUGGUGGUAACGGGUAACGGGGUGUUAGGGCACGACACCGGAGAGGGAGCCUGAGAAACGGCUACCACAUCCAAGGAUGGCAGCAGGCGCGCAAAUUACCCAAUCCCGACACGGGGAGGUAGUGACAAUAAAUAACAAUACGGGGUUCUAAAGGAUUUCGUAAUUGGAAUGAGUACAAUUUAAAUCUCUUAACGAUCAACAAUUGGAGGGCAAGUCUGGUGCCAGCAGCCGCGGUAAUUCCAGCUCCAAUAGCGUAUAUUAAAGUUGUUGCAGUUAAAAAGCUCGUAGUUGAAUUUCGGGGUUAGUAGGUUGGUCAUGCCUCUGGUAUGUACUGAUCUCACUGAUUCCUCCCUCUUGACGAACUGUAAUGUCAUUAAUUUGGUGUUCCAGGAAAUCAGGACUGUUACUUUGAAAAAAUUAGAGUGUUUAAAGCAGGCUAAGGCUUGAAUACAUUAGCAUGGAAUAAUGAAAUAGGACGUUUGAACCUAUUUUGUUGGUUUCUAGGAUCGACGUAAUGAUUAAUAGGGAUAGUUGGGGGCAUUAGUAUUCAAUUGUCAGAGGUGAAAUUCUUGGAUUUAUUGAAGACUAACUACUGCGAAAGCAUUUGCCAAGGAUGUUUUCAUUAAUCAAGAACGAAAGUUAGGGGAUCGAAGACGAUCAGAUACCGUCGUAGUCUUAACCAUAAACUAUGCCGACUAGGGAUCGGAUGAUGUUAAUUUUUUAAUGACUCAUUCGGCGCCUUACGGGAAACCAAAGUGUUUGGGUUC
This 799-nucleotide ribosomal RNA is filed under the name uncultured Glomeromycotina. RNAcentral describes it as "SSU rRNA". It matches the Rfam family "Eukaryotic small subunit ribosomal RNA", at positions 314 to 1114 of the family's 1831-position model. The record is from RNAcentral. Lineage: Eukaryota; Fungi; Glomeromycota.